GUGGUACGCCGCUCCGUUGUGCCGUGCGAAAGGACACGGAGUGGCCGUGCGAGUGACUAGCGCCCCUGUCGGGGCCGCGGAUCACGAGCUGUCUGGCGUCCGAGAGGUGCGAACUCUCGGACGCCGAUG
This is a small RNA of Streptomyces tsukubensis, 129 nucleotides long. It matches the Rfam family "Streptomyces RNA 6925". Rfam says of the family: Identified by deep sequencing of transcriptome at the end of exponential growth phase. Sequencing size consistent with northern blot size. NCBI's taxonomy places the organism in Bacteria, Bacillati, Actinomycetota, Actinomycetes, Kitasatosporales, Streptomycetaceae. The record is from Rfam.